Long non-coding RNA from Gossypium arboreum, 1383 nucleotides. RefSeq lists it as uncharacterized. NCBI's taxonomy places the organism in Eukaryota, Viridiplantae, Streptophyta, Magnoliopsida, Malvales, Malvaceae. The record is from RefSeq and is a predicted model, not a curated record. The transcript has 2 exons.
CAUUGAUGAAGGUUGUCAUCCUCUAAGCAACUAUUCGGUUAUAGCAAAAGCCAAGUGAGCUGAUGAUUGCUUUUCCCCAAGCAGCCCCUUCGUGCAUUGUAAGAGUCACCAAAGCUUUCACAUUUGUUCAAAUCAACUGAAGGAUUCUUUUCACACAUUGAGGCCAUUCGGUUUUGAGCUUUCACACCUAAAAGGUUGCUCAUUUUUUAGCUGUUCACAUGGAAGGUUAUUGGAGUGCCCAAGCUGCCAUUAAAAGCUCAAGUCUAUUCGAUCGGCUAUUCAAGGCAACCACUUAAAGGCUGUUCACACCUCUUGGCCAAUUAUAUUCAGCUAGAUUCAGCUCCACAUUCACUUCAAUUAAGCCAGGUUGAUCUAGGAAACUAGAAGGGACAUUUUGGGAAGGUUCAAGGAAGUUUCAGCUCAAUUAAGCUGAAUUAAGGCUGUCCAUUUAGUUAUUUCUUGUGUCCAUUCGGCUAGUUAAGAUUUUGAGCUAUAAAUUUGAAGCUCAUUUGUUGUAAUUUAGGCUUUUGACACCUUAUAUGUUUAAUUUAUCUUUUGUGAGUUUAUUCAACUUUCAUUGUUCGUUUAAGACUCAAGUUGACUUAUCUAACUUUGCUAGAGGCGUCUUUCUUGUUUCUUUGUGAACUUAUCACUCUUUAGGUGUGGCGUUCCAAUCCCUAUACCUUUGGUUCCUAUCUCUCAAUAGAUAGUGGGUCAAGGUCUUUCUUAUCAUCUAUCACCUUAAAAGUCAAUAUAAGAUUUGGGUCAAUACUCUUUUUAUAGUAUUGGUUCUUUCUUCGACCUUAAGCUUACAAAUCCAUCCUAAAUUAUCAACUUUAAAAAAAAAAAUCACCUUGUUUUUUCUUACUUAGCCGAAUUCACAUACUUCCCAUAGCUAAACCAUUUGAACCCUUUUGCUUAAAAACCUUUACUUAGCCGAUUUCAACUACCAACCCCAAAUAGAAUGAUACUUCUCUAUUUUACGAUCGGGAAAAAUUCGCAGCUCAAAUCCAAUUACGAGUACGAGGGAGCAACAAAGGGGGAUUUGUUGAAUUUUAAAGAUAUUUCCAAUGGAGGCUAAAUGAGUGAAGUUUGAGUUAGUGUUGAUUGUCAUUGCAGUGGCAAUGGGGGUGCUAGUUUUGAGCCUAAGUCUUGUGGAAGGUGCAUUCGGGAUCCAGUUCAAUCCAUGCACUCUCGUUCAAUGUAUUGUUGAAUGUACAAAGAUUUUGCAUAGAAAUUCCUUAGUGCAACUUGUGCUUCAAGCCCUCAAAGGAAAUACUACAUCUGCUUAGGUUGAUAUAACUUGCUUAGUUCUUACUUAAAUUUUCCAAUUGGAUAUGUAUCUUAUGAUAAAAAAGAAAAGAUAUAAAUAAAAUUUUUAUA